Molecule: small RNA, 283 nt
Filed under: Macaca mulatta (Rhesus monkey)
Lineage: Eukaryota; Metazoa; Chordata; Mammalia; Primates; Cercopithecidae
Description: Metazoan signal recognition particle RNA (ENSMMUG00000051190.1)
Source: RNAcentral
GCUGGGCAUAGUGUUGGGUGCCUGUAAUCCUAGUUACUCAGGAGGCUGAGGCAGGAGAAUUGCUUGAACCCAGGAGGUGGAGGUUGUGAUGAGUUGAAAUCAUGCCACUGCACUCCAGCCUAGGUGAUGGAGCAAGACUCCGUCUCAAAAAAAAGGAUCGAAGUUUUGUUUUUUUUUUUUUUUUUGGACAGAGUUUCACUGUUGUCCAGGCUGGAGUGCAGUGGCACGAUUUCGGCUCACUGCAACCUCCGCCGCCCGGGUUCAAGCAAUUCUCCUGGCUCAG